AAAUUGAAGAGUUUGAUCAUGGCUCAGAUUGAACGCUGGCGGCAGGCCUAACACAUGCAAGUCGAACGGUAACAGGAAACAGCUUGCUGUUUCGCUGACGAGUGGCGGACGGGUGAGUAAUGUCUGGGAAACUGCCUGAUGGAGGGGGAUAACUACUGGAAACGGUAGCUAAUACCGCAUAACGUCGCAAGACCAAAGAGGGGGACCCUCGGGCCUCUUGCCAUCGGAUGUGCCCAGAUGGGAUUAGCUUGUUGGUGGGGUAACGGCUCACCAAGGCGACGAUCCCUAGCUGGUCUGAGAGGAUGACCAGCCACACUGGAACUGAGACACGGUCCAGACUCCUACGGGAGGCAGCAGUGGGGAAUAUUGCACAAUGGGCGCAAGCCUGAUGCAGCCAUGCCGCGUGUAUGAAGAAGGCCUUCGGGUUGUAAAGUACUUUCAGCGGGGAGGAAGGGAGUAAAGUUAAUACCUUUGCUCAUUGACGUUACCCGCAGAAGAAGCACCGGCUAACUCCGUGCCAGCAGCCGCGGUAAUACGGAGGGUGCAAGCGUUAAUCGGAAUUACUGGGCGUAAAGCGCACGCAGGCGGUUUGUUAAGUCAGAUGUGAAAUCCCCGGGCUCAACCUGGGAACUGCAUCUGAUACUGGCAAGCUUGAGUCUCGUAGAGGGGGUAGAAUUCCAGGUGUAGCGGUGAAAUGCGUAGAGAUCUGGAGGAAUACCGGUGGCGAAGGCGGCCCCCUGGACGAAGACUGACGCUCAGGUGCGAAAGCGUGGGGAGCAAACAGGAUUAGAUACCCUGGUAGUCCACGCCGUAAACGAUGUCGACUUGGAGGUUGUGCCCUUGAGGCGUGGCUUCCGGAGCUAACGCGUUAAGUCGACCGCCUGGGGAGUACGGCCGCAAGGUUAAAACUCAAAUGAAUUGACGGGGGCCCGCACAAGCGGUGGAGCAUGUGGUUUAAUUCGAUGCAACGCGAAGAACCUUACCUGGUCUUGACAUCCACGGAAGUUUUCAGAGAUGAGAAUGUGCCUUCGGGAACCGUGAGACAGGUGCUGCAUGGCUGUCGUCAGCUCGUGUUGUGAAAUGUUGGGUUAAGUCCCGCAACGAGCGCAACCCUUAUCCUUUGUUGCCAGCGGUCCGGCCGGGAACUCAAAGGAGACUGCCAGUGAUAAACUGGAGGAAGGUGGGGAUGACGUCAAGUCAUCAUGGCCCUUACGACCAGGGCUACACACGUGCUACAAUGGCGCAUACAAAGAGAAGCGACCUCGCGAGAGCAAGCGGACCUCAUAAAGUGCGUCGUAGUCCGGAUUGGAGUCUGCAACUCGACUCCAUGAAGUCGGAAUCGCUAGUAAUCGUGGAUCAGAAUGCCACGGUGAAUACGUUCCCGGGCCUUGUACACACCGCCCGUCACACCAUGGGAGUGGGUUGCAAAAGAAGUAGGUAGCUUAACCUUCGGGAGGGCGCUUACCACUUUGUGAUUCAUGACUGGGGUGAAGUCGUAACAAGGUAACCGUAGGGGAACCUGCGGUUGGAUCACCUCCUUACCUUAAAGAAGC
Molecule: ribosomal RNA, 1553 nt
Filed under: Escherichia coli
Lineage: Bacteria; Pseudomonadati; Pseudomonadota; Gammaproteobacteria; Enterobacterales; Enterobacteriaceae
Description: bacterial SSU rRNA
Rfam family: Bacterial small subunit ribosomal RNA
Source: RNAcentral